GUCGACGAUGAUCCCAGCUUGCUGGGUGGAUUAGUGGCGAACGGGUGAGUAACACCUGUGUAACCUGCCCCUGACUCUGGGAUAAGCGUUGGAAACGACGUCUAAUACUGGAUAUGAUCACUGGCCGCAUGGUCUGGUGGUGGAAAGAUUUUUUGGUUGGGGAUGGACUCGCGGCCUAUCAGCUUGUUGGUGAGGUAAUGGCUCACCAAGGCGACGACGGGUAGCCGGCCUGAGAGGGUGACCGGCCACACUGGGACUGAGACACGGCCCAGACUCCUACGGGAGGCAGCAGUGGGGAAUAUUGCACAAUGGGCGAAAGCCUGAUGCAGCAACGCCGCGUGAGGGAUGACGGCCUUCGGGUUGUAAACCUCUUUUAGUAGGGAAGAAGCGAAAGUGACGGUACCUGCAGAAAAAGCACCGGCUAACUACGUGCCAGCAGCCGCGGUAAUACGUAGGGUGCAAGCGUUGUCCGGAAUUAUUGGGCGUAAAGAGCUCGUAGG
RNAcentral lists this ribosomal RNA (500 nucleotides) under Curtobacterium flaccumfaciens. RNAcentral's name for it is "bacterial SSU rRNA". It matches the Rfam family "Bacterial small subunit ribosomal RNA", at positions 61 to 575 of the family's 1533-position model. The record is from RNAcentral. Lineage: Bacteria; Bacillati; Actinomycetota; Actinomycetes; Micrococcales; Microbacteriaceae.